Molecule: transfer RNA, 73 nt
Filed under: Bos taurus (domestic cattle)
Lineage: Eukaryota; Metazoa; Chordata; Mammalia; Artiodactyla; Bovidae
Also listed under: 2 other names
Rfam family: tRNA
About the family: Transfer RNA (tRNA) molecules are approximately 80 nucleotides in length.
Source: Rfam by way of RNAcentral
UUCCCUGGAGUCCAGUCGUUAGGACUCAGCACCUUUACUGCUGUGGUCCUGGGUUCAAUUCCUGGUUGGGGAA